GGAAAACAUUUUUGGAAAACUAUGAUUUGAACGCGUUUUUCUGUUUUUCAUGUUUUCUUGAAAAACAAAAAUGAAGAUGAAGGCAUGUCAUGGGAUUAGACAAUUUUCUAUAAAACAGUUAUCCAUUGGUAGAUUUUUGUGAAAUGGGAAGUAGGUUCCUUGAUUCUGCUUACUCAAACCACAUACGAAGUCUGGUUUACACAAGGAAUAUUCUCAAAUUGUCAAACUGGGCAAUGGCAAGAAGCUGGUAGUCAAGCUGGACUUUCCAUGUACUGAAUAGGUGCAUAAGUAGAAGUACUGAUGAAAAAGUCCCUGAAGAAUGCUGGUCGGGCGUCAAACCAAAGGAAUUACAAUGUAUAUUCAGCAAACGCCCAUUAAAUGAGCCCAACCGUUCAGACAGUCCUGCUACAUACACUAGAAAAUGAAGUGCCACAUGACCCGGUUAUUGAAGCCACUAAGUCACGGGCUGUUCGGGGAAGCAAGACACUGUAUGCAAGUCAUUGACUCAUUGUGUGUGGUUAAAAUGGCAGCUGAAUAAUCUAGAAGAUGGGCUUAGGUUAGUUGGCCCAAGUUGUUUUGGUUGUCCAAGCAUGGUAGGUUAUAAACCGGCGGCUUAGUCUUUCUUUAUGAGAGUCGUGGACUCGUGGUAGGAUAGAUCAAGUCAUGUUUCCUUUCUUUUUGAGGUCAUCAGAGAUGUUGGUAAAGUUUGUGGUGAUAACAGUUGGUUGUUCACGCUAUAUAAUGCCUUCUUUGGUAUUCAAUUAAUUCUGGUUCAAAUUGA
This is a long non-coding RNA of Erigeron canadensis, 781 nucleotides long. RefSeq lists it as uncharacterized. Lineage: Eukaryota; Viridiplantae; Streptophyta; Magnoliopsida; Asterales; Asteraceae. The record is from RefSeq and is a predicted model, not a curated record. The transcript is spliced from 2 exons.